UACGUAGGGGGCAAGCGUUGUCCGGACUUACUGGGCGUAAAGCGCGUGCAGGCGGCUUGGUAUGUGCCGUGUGAAAGCUCUCAGCUUGCCUGGGAGAGGUCGCGGUAGACAGCCGAUCUGGAGGCUCGGAGAGGUCAGUGGAAUUCCCGGUGUAGUGGUGAAAUGCGCAGAUAUCAGGAGGAACACCAGUGGCGAAGGCGACUUCCUGGCCUGUUCUUGACGCUGAGGCGCGAAAGCUAGGGUAGCAAACGGG
RNAcentral lists this ribosomal RNA (253 nucleotides) under uncultured bacterium. RNAcentral's name for it is "partial 16S ribosomal RNA". It matches the Rfam family "Bacterial small subunit ribosomal RNA", at positions 524 to 776 of the family's 1533-position model. The record is from RNAcentral.